AUACUUACCUGGGCAGGGGAGAUACCAUGCAAGAAUGUGGGUUUUCACCCAGGGACGAGGCUUAACAUUUGCACUACGGUAUGCGUACUCCUGGCGAAUUCCCCAAUGGGAAUCCGACUGCAUAAUUUGUGGUAGUGGGGGACGAGUUCGCGCUCCCCCU
Molecule: small nuclear RNA, 160 nt
Organism: Etheostoma spectabile (orangethroat darter)
Lineage: Eukaryota; Metazoa; Chordata; Actinopteri; Perciformes; Percidae
Product: U1 spliceosomal RNA
Exons: 1
Source: RefSeq, a predicted model, not a curated record